This 245-nucleotide ribosomal RNA is filed under the name uncultured Pseudokineococcus sp. RNAcentral describes it as "partial 16S ribosomal RNA". It matches the Rfam family "Bacterial small subunit ribosomal RNA", at positions 796 to 1041 of the family's 1533-position model. The record is from RNAcentral. Lineage: Bacteria; Bacillati; Actinomycetota; Actinomycetes; Kineosporiales; Kineosporiaceae.
CAUGCCGUAAACGUUGGGCGCUAGGUGUGGGGCUCAUUCCACGAGCUCUGUGCCGCAGCAAACGCAUUAAGCGCCCCGCCUGGGGAGUACGGCCGCAAGGCUAAAACUCAAAGGAAUUGACGGGGCCCCGCACAAGCGGCGGAGCAUGCGGAUUAAUUCGAUGCAACGCGAAGAACCUUACCAAGGCUUGACAUGCAGGGAAAUCUCAUAGAGAUAUGAGGUCCGCAAGGGUCCUGCGCAGGUGG